RNAcentral lists this ribosomal RNA (826 nucleotides) under uncultured bacterium. Its description in RNAcentral is "bacterial SSU rRNA". It matches the Rfam family "Bacterial small subunit ribosomal RNA", at positions 26 to 873 of the family's 1533-position model. The record is from RNAcentral.
GGGAGAAACGCGGCGGCAGCUUACACCAUGCAGUUGAACGGGUUUACGUUUAUUACACUUCAACAAGUAGCGGACGGGUGAGUAACGCGUAAGAACCUACCUUUAGGUAAGGAAUAACUAUUGGAAACGAUAGAUAAUACCUUAUAAGCUUAUAGUAAAAGAUAAAAUCGCCUAAGGAUGGGCUUGCGUCUGAUUAGCUUGUUGGUGAUUUAAAAGAUUCACCAAGGCAACGAUCAGUAGUUGGUCUAAGAGGAUGAUCAACCACACUGGGACUGAGACACGGCCCAGACCUCUACGGAGGGCAGCAGUGAGGAAUUUUCCGCAAUGGGCGAAAGCCUGACGGAGCAAUGCCGCGUGGAGGAUGAAAGCUUGUGAGUCGUAAACUCCUUUUCUUAGUGAAGAAAUAAGACGGUAUCUAAGGAAUAAGCAUCGGCUAACUCCGUGCCAGCAGCCGCGGUGAUACGGAGGAUGCAAGCGUUAUUCGGAAUUAUUGGGCGUAAAGCGUCUGUAGGUGGUAUAUCAAGUCUACUGUUAAAUAUUAAGGCUUAACCUUAAAAAAGCGGUUUGAAACUAAAAAACUUGAGUUUAGUCAGAGGUAGAGGGAAUACUCGGAUGUAGUGGUGAAAUGCGUAGAGAUCGAGAAGAACACCGGUAGCGAAAGCGCUCUACUGGGCUAAAACUGAACAUGAGAGACGAAGCUAGGGGAGCAAUAGGAUAGAUUCCUAGUUAUCUAGCUGUAACGAGGAUAAAAGUGUGGGGUAUAAAAGUCAAUGAUGAAAUAAGCAUUAGUAUUCAGCUGGGAGUAUGUCACAGAAUGGAAAUCAAU